Molecule: ribosomal RNA, 406 nt
Filed under: uncultured bacterium
Lineage: Bacteria
Description: partial 16S ribosomal RNA
Rfam family: Bacterial small subunit ribosomal RNA
Source: RNAcentral
AUUGAACGCUGGCGGCAGGCCUAACACAUGCAAGUCGAACGAGUGGCGGACGGGUGAGUAAUGUCUGGGAAACUGCCCGAUGGAGGGGGAUAACUACUGGAAACGGUAGCUAAUACCGCAUACCAUCGGAUGUGCCCAGAUGGGAUUAGCUAGUAGGUGGGGUAAAGGCUCACCUAGGCGACGAUCCCUAGCUGGUCUGAGAGGAUGACCAGCCACACUGGACCUGAUGCACGGUCCAGACUCCUACGGGAGGCAGCCGUGGGGAAUAUUGCACAAUGGGCGCAAGCCUGAUGCAGCCAUGCCGCGUGUAUGAAGAAGGCCUUCGGGUUGUAAAGUACUUUCAGUCGGGAGGCGUUACCGGCAGAAGAAGCACCGGCUAACUCCGUGCCAGCCGCCGCGGUAAUAC